Molecule: long non-coding RNA, 445 nt
Organism: Alosa alosa (allis shad)
Lineage: Eukaryota; Metazoa; Chordata; Actinopteri; Clupeiformes; Clupeidae
Exons: 3
Source: RefSeq, a predicted model, not a curated record
AAGAAUUGCUUCCUGUUGCCAAUGAGGUGUGUGGCCUCACAUUAUUAUCGAUUUGUUUUGGAGGGCCUGCAGCUGGAGCCAAGGGGAAUAAAGAAAGAAAGGAAAUAAAAUGCUCCUUCUCUGCUGCGGAGUGAUUGUUUAUAAGCAGCACCAAUUUCCACAUCCAGACCAGCGGUUUUCGAACGACCUUGUUCCAGAAACUGGCCGGAAUUGAUAAGCCGCCAUGGUGUGGUGUCACAGAAAGCACUCCACGGGCUCAAGUGACGCAGCAAAGAAGCAACGUCAUUUCAGCCAAUCAACAACCAAGCCUAUUUACCAUCAAAAAACAAGCUCACCAAGAAAGCAGCCUUUGUGUGCCAAAAACAUCUCAACAACAGAGCAGCCUUCGAGAGCAUUUUACUGGCGUUAUCAAGCAGGCACCUUCCUUCACCAGUGUUUUUAGGCU